AUUGAACGCUGGCGGCAGGCUUAACACAUGCAAGUCGAGCGAGCGGCGGACGGGUGAGUAAUGUCUGGGAAACUGCCUGAUGGAGGGGGAUAACUACUGGAAACGGUAGCUAAUACCGCAUACCAUAGGAUGAGCCCAAGUGGGAUUAGGUAGUUGGUGAGGUAAAGGCGCACCAAGCCGAAGAUCUCUAGCUGGUCUGAGAGGAUGACCAGCCACACUGGGACUGCGACACGGCCCAGACUCCUACGGGAGGCAGCAGUGGGGAAUAUUGCGCAAUGGGGGCAACCCUGACGCAGCCAUGCCGCGUGAAUGAAGAAGGCCUUCGGGUUGUAAAGUUCUUUCGGUAGCGAGGCGUUAACUACAGAAGAAGCACCGGCUAACUCCGUGCCAGCCGCCGCGGUAAUUC
RNAcentral lists this ribosomal RNA (406 nucleotides) under uncultured bacterium. RNAcentral's name for it is "partial 16S ribosomal RNA". It matches the Rfam family "Bacterial small subunit ribosomal RNA", at positions 30 to 526 of the family's 1533-position model. The record is from RNAcentral.